Long non-coding RNA from Quercus lobata, 2146 nucleotides. RefSeq lists it as uncharacterized. Lineage: Eukaryota; Viridiplantae; Streptophyta; Magnoliopsida; Fagales; Fagaceae. The transcript is spliced from 5 exons. The record is from RefSeq and is a predicted model, not a curated record.
UUUAUUUUUAUUUUUAAAAUUUCGAUUUUUUUUCCCAGUAUUUUAUACGACUGACUCUCUCUAAGUUUCUAACCUAUACGCAUCCUCAAAACCCAAAACCCUAACCUCUGACUUUGAGCUCUCUCUCUCUUCGCUUUGUCUUGGGUCCUGCCGUUUCCCCCUUCUCUCUUUAUUCCUCAAACCUCUCCCUUACAAGCCAUCCCCAUUCACUCAUUCGCUCUUGCUUCGCUCGCUCUUCACCGAUUUCAGCGUAUUUUUAGGCGGCCAGAUUGCUCUGAUUUCGAAGACGAAGACUAACUCAGGAAGCUGGCAAGAAGUUUGCAUUUGGGAAAAUAAUUAAGUUGAUGACAACUGUUGCCAAGGCACUUCAGGCUUGCUUUCUCCUACCAUUUUGGAUAUUUAUACAUAUUUUACUUCAUAAAUGGCAUGAGGGACAACAUAUCUGUUGUGUUCAGCUGGAUGAAAAAUUACAUUAUGAAGUUUUCAUUCACUCCGAUGCCAACAGAAGUUUUAGCUGCUAACAAGAAUAUUGCAUCACAGAAAAUAGCGAACUUGAUGACAACUGAUGCCAAGGCACUUCAGAAAACUAAACCUUAGCACCAAGCCAAGGAAGGGUGCUUACACAUCUGCUGUGAGAGGAACCUCCUUGAUUCUACACUACUUCUUUGAUAUGCUUGUCACAUCAACUGCUUUUCUACCUGUUCCAGCUCCUGAAUUUUUUUAAUCAUAGCAACAACCUCUAAGAAAAUGGGAAAGUCAGAGAGUUGAAAGGUUAGGAGUACCCACACAUUUGAUUAAUUCAGAAGUGAAGCAAACAUUUGACACCCAUUCAAAAAUUGAUGAAACAAGAAAUAACCUAUUUUCUUUCUAUAAAUGAUAAAAAGGUGAGAUUAAUCUCCAUUACAUUUGUAAAGAGGUAGAGUGCAAUGAACAGUUGUUCAAUUAAGACACAAUAUCCACUUUUGGCCUUUUGCAAUACACAAGAAUCUCAACAAAGAAAGGAAAACUUUUUAAAAAAAUUACAGAAUCAAAAUGCAUGGAAAACCUCAUUUCUGACCAUCUCACAAUUCGUCUUUGGAUAGGAUAAGAAACUCAAGGGAGCCAUCAAUCUUUUCCACCUUCAAUUUCUGUAAAGAUGUCAGUGACUAAUUAUCCACACAACUAAAACUGAGAAGCAUAGAAAGAGACACUCUUAACCCAACUAAAUGCAUCAAUUAGGAGAGCUCUCUUAAAUAGGGACUUGUAAUAAUAUUGGACUAUUGUCAGUAAACAACAUUCCUCUAGCAGAAUGCCAAUAUAAAAUUUACAUUUUCAAAUGAACAUUGGUUGGUGGGAUCUCUAAAAUGGUUUAAAGCUGCUGAUUCUAGUAUUUUUUUGUUUUUUUUUUUGUUUUUCCUAAUUUCUUUUGGCUGGGAUGGGAAAAAAAAUAAAAUAAAGGCACAUUCAACUUUACUUAAUUUUUUAAGAAAUAUAUAACCAUUCCAUAGAACCAAAUAGUGAGAAUAUCUUGUACAGUAACUUGAGGACCUAUCAUUCAUUAAUGAGCUAUACAUUUGCAAGAAGUCACAAUAUCUGCUUAGGGUGAAGUGGCUCAUUGCGUCACUAAAUUACAAAUACUAGUGAUCUUUGAUUGUCCCAAUCAGAGGUCAUGUAGUUUAGCCCAAAAGGGUCUAAGAUUGCCCAUAUUCUAUUUAUUGAGAUAAACCUUAGAUACAUCCUAUGUAAUAAAUAGGUCAAAAUCAUUUAAAAAUGGUAUGUUCUCUCUAUUUCCUUCUGUUUAGUGUUUUGGUUUGAAGUUGACUAAUUGUUCACGAUUUGUUCUCCUCUCUGCUUCUUCUUCUUCUUCUCCUUUUUUUUUUUCAGCCGUAUAUAUGUUACCAUAUUCUUUGGUUAAUGAUAUCCUAAGAGUUUUGUGACAAACCAUUAAUUCAUAUUUAACAUAUCUUACUGCGUAGCUUCUGUGUAUCUUCUACUUUUAGCUCUAUUUUAUCGUGGUUCUUCCAUGAUGGUUGAAUUUCUAUUAGCACAUCAAAUAUUUCUCAGAAAAUUCAGAAAGUCUUUUGUUUUUUAUUUUAAGGAUUUCAUUUGAAUUAUCACUUCUUAUUUUUUCAUAUUUUCUAAUAAUAUUCUACACUUAUCUACUCUU